CACGCAGUAAACGAUGAUCACUCGUUGUUGGCGAUACACAGUCAGCGACUAAGGGAAACCGAUAAGUGAUCCACCUGGGGAGUACGGCCGCAAGGCUGAAACUCAAAGGAAUUGACGGGGGCCCGCACAAGCGGUGGAGCAUGUGGUUUAAUUCGAUGAUACGCGAGGGACCUUACCUGGGCUCAAAUGUAAGUUGACGUAUGGUGAAAGCUAUAUUUCUUCGGACAAUUUACAAGGUGCUGCAUGGUUGUCGUCAGCUCGUGCCGUGAGGUGUCGGGUUAAGUCCCAUAACGAGCGCAACCCCUAUCAUUAGUUGCCAUCAGGUCAAGCUGGGGACUCUAAUGAAACUGCCUACGCAAGUAGA
This 364-nucleotide ribosomal RNA is filed under the name uncultured bacterium. RNAcentral describes it as "bacterial SSU rRNA". It matches the Rfam family "Bacterial small subunit ribosomal RNA", at positions 796 to 1166 of the family's 1533-position model. The record is from RNAcentral.